RNAcentral lists this long non-coding RNA (1407 nucleotides) under Ovis aries (sheep). RNAcentral's name for it is "lncRNA (ENSOARG00000026001.1)". The record is from RNAcentral. Lineage: Eukaryota; Metazoa; Chordata; Mammalia; Artiodactyla; Bovidae.
AUGGCGCCUGAAACAGGGACCUGGAGCAUGCCCUUGGCAAGCGGAUGGAGUGACUGUGGACCUCCCGAGGACGGAUUUGUGCAAGGAGGUAGGAAAUGCAGACUUAAUCCAAGAAUCUUUUUUUUUUUUUGGCUGUGUGGCGUAGCACAUGGGAUCUUAAUUCUCCAACCAGAGAUUGAACCCACACCUCCUGCACUGAAAACUCAGAGUCUUAACCACUGGACGGCCAGGGUGAAGUCCUCCAAGAAUCUAUUCUUAAGUAGCGACUUGAAGAUCCAAAUGCUGACAUCAGGUAUCUAUUAUCUAUUUUUAAAACGUGAGUUUCCUGAAAACCACCUCAGUAUAUAUAACCACCUCAAUGGUGUACUGGACCACCUCAGUACAGCUCCUCCUUCACACCAACAGGGUCACGGAAGGCAGCAGCCACGCGAGAACCACUGUAACCAGGAAUAAGAUCACCAGCCCAUCCCAAACAACACACUUGGAAUCACAACUCCCAGGAUGUCUGCUGUGACCUUGGGCUUUAAACCACUUGACUGCAUCCAGGAACUAAAAACAGCCACCAAAUGUGUUGGAAAUCAAUUAAUAGAUUUACAAAAACUAAUAAUAUUAAAAUGUGAUUGGAAUUCUACUCAAUUUUGUGUCACUGCUGUUCAGUUCAACUAUAGUGCCUACAUCUGGGAACAAAUAAAUUUCAUUUGCAAGACAUACAUGAUAAUGCUUCCCUAAAUGCACAAUUAUUACAAAAAGAAAUCUUUGAAACCUUCUCUAAAAGUCUGCCCUCUUCCAAUAAUUUGAAAACUUUAGCUGAACAGCUAGUUGAUCAAUUAUCUGGGCUAGACUCUUGAAGAUGGUUCCAAAGUAUUACUCAUAGUAUUGGGUCUGGUGCUGUAACAUUGGUAAUUGUCCUGGUAAUUAUAUUUGUUGUAUACCAAUGCAAAGAAAUAGAGGAAAACAACAGAAUGGGAAAGACUAGAGAUCUCUUCAAGAAAAUUAGAGAUACCAAGGGAAUAUUUCAUGCAAAGAUGGGGUCAAUAAAGGACAGAAAUGGUAUGGACCUAACAGAAGCAGAAGAUAUUAAGAAGAGGUGGCAAGAAUACACAGAAGAACUGUACAAAAUAGAUCUUCACGAUCCAGGUAAUCACCAUGGUGUGAUCACUCACCUAGAGCCAGACACCCUGGAAUGUGAAGUCAAGUGGGCCUUAGGAAGCAUCACUAUGAACAAAGCUAGUGGAGGUGAUGGAAUUCCAGUUGAGCUGUUUCAAAUCCUGAAAGAUGAUGCUGUGAAAGUGCUGCACUCAAUAUGCCAGCACAUUUGGAAAACUCAGCAGUGGCCACAGGACUGGAAAAGGUCAGUUUUCAUUCCAAUCCCAAAGAAAGACAAUGCCAAAGAAUGCUCAAACUACC